Molecule: ribosomal RNA, 842 nt
Filed under: uncultured bacterium
Lineage: Bacteria
Description: bacterial SSU rRNA
Rfam family: Bacterial small subunit ribosomal RNA
Source: RNAcentral
CUUACCAUGCAAGUCGAGCGAGAAAAUGGCUUCGGCCAUGAGUAGAGCGGCGGACGGGUGAGUAAUACAUGGAUAAUCUGCCUUUAGGACCGGGACAACCCAGGGAAACUUGGGCUAAUACCGGAUAAGACCACAGAAUCUCCGGAUUCAGCGGUAAAAGGUGGCUUCGGCUAUCACCUAUAGAUGAGUCCAUGUCCCAUCAGGUAGUUGGUGAGGUAACGGCCCACCAAGCCGAAGACGGGUAGCCGACCUUAGCGGGUGAUCGGCCACACGGGGACUGAGACACGGCCCCGACUCCUACGGGAGGCAGCAGUGGGGAAUAUUGGACAAUGGGCGCAAGCCUGAUCCAGCAAUACCGCGUGAGGGAUGAAGGCUUUCGAGUCGUAAACCUCUGUCAGUUGGAACGAUGGGUCUGUAGGUUAAUACCCUGCAGACUUGACGGUACCUUCAAAGGAAGCCCCGGCUAACUCCGUGCCAGCAGCCGCGGUAAUACGGAGGGGGCAAGCGUUGCUCGGAAUUACUGGGCGUAAAGGGUCCGCAGGUGGCUUUGUAAGUUAGAUGUGAAAUCUCAGGGCUCAACCCUGAAACUGCAUCUAAUACUGCAUAGCUUGAGUACAGGAGAGGUUGGCAGAAUUCCCGGUGUAGCGGUGAAAUGCGUAGAUAUCGGGAGGAAUACCAGUGGCGAAGGCGGCCAACUGGCCUGUUACUGACACUCAGGGACGAAAGCGUGGGUAGCGAACGGGAUUAGAUACCCCGGUAGUCCACGCCCUAAACGAUGGAUGCUAGGUGUGGGGAUGAAAAUCUCUGUGCCGUAGUUAACGCAUUAAGCAUCCCGCCUGGGG